UUAAGCGACUAAGCGUACACGGUGGAUGCCCUGGCAGUCAGAGGCGAUGAAGGACGUGCUAAUCUGCGAUAAGCGUCGGUAAGGUGAUAUGAACCGUUAUAACCGGCGAUUUCCGAAUGGGGAAACCCAGUGUGUUUCGACACACUAUCAUUAACUGAAUCCAUAGGUUAAUGAGGCGAACCGGGGGAACUGAAACAUCUAAGUACCCCGAGGAAAAGAAAUCAACCGAGAUUCCCCCAGUAGCGGCGAGCGAACGGGGAGCAGCCCAGAGCCUGAAUCAGUGUGUGUGUUAGUGGAAGCGUCUGGAAAGGCGUGCGAUACAGGGUGACAGCCCCGUACACAAAAAUGCACAUGCUGUGAGCUCGAUGAGUAGGGCGGGACACGUGGUAUCCUGUCUGAAUAUGGGGGGACCAUCCUCCAAGGCUAAAUACUCCUGACUGACCGAUAGUGAACCAGUACCGUGAGGGAAAGGCGAAAAGAACCCCGGCGAGGGGAGUGAAAAAGAACCUGAAACCGUGUACGUACAAGCAGUGGGAGCACGCUUAGGCGUGUGACUGCGUACCUUUUGUAUAAUGGGUCAGCGACUUAUAUUCUGUAGCAAGGUUAACCGAAUAGGGGAGCCGAAGGGAAACCGAGUCUUAACUGGGCGUUAAGUUGCAGGGUAUAGACCCGAAACCCGGUGAUCUAGCCAUGGGCAGGUUGAAGGUUGGGUAACACUAACUGGAGGACCGAACCGACUAAUGUUGAAAAAUUAGCGGAUGACUUGUGGCUGGGGGUGAAAGGCCAAUCAAACCGGGAGAUAGCUGGUUCUCCCCGAAAGCUAUUUAGGUAGCGCCUCGUGAAUUCAUCUCCGGGGGUAGAGCACUGUUUCGGCAAGGGGGUCAUCCCGACUUACCAACCCGAUGCAAACUGCGAAUACCGGAGAAUGUUAUCACGGGAGACACACGGCGGGUGCUAACGUCCGUCGUGAAGAGGGAAACAACCCAGACCGCCAGCUAAGGUCCCAAAGUCAUGGUUAAGUGGGAAACGAUGUGGGAAGGCCCAGACAGCCAGGAUGUUGGCUUAGAAGCAGCCAUCAUUUAAAGAAAGCGUAAUAGCUCACUGGUCGAGUCGGCCUGCGCGGAAGAUGUAACGGGGCUAAACCAUGCACCGAAGCUGCGGCAGCGACACUAUGUGUUGUUGGGUAGGGGAGCGUUCUGUAAGCCUGUGAAGGUGUGCUGUGAGGCAUGCUGGAGGUAUCAGAAGUGCGAAUGCUGACAUAAGUAACGAUAAAGCGGGUGAAAAGCCCGCUCGCCGGAAGACCAAGGGUUCCUGUCCAACGUUAAUCGGGGCAGGGUGAGUCGACCCCUAAGGCGAGGCCGAAAGGCGUAGUCGAUGGGAAACAGGUUAAUAUUCCUGUACUUGGUGUUACUGCGAAGGGGGGACGGAGAAGGCUAUGUUGGCCGGGCGACGGUUGUCCCGGUUUAAGCGUGUAGGCUGGUUUUCCAGGCAAAUCCGGAAAAUCAAGGCUGAGGCGUGAUGACGAGGCACUACGGUGCUGAAGCAACAAAUGCCCUGCUUCCAGGAAAAGCCUCUAAGCAUCAGGUAACAUCAAAUCGUACCCCAAACCGACACAGGUGGUCAGGUAGAGAAUACCAAGGCGCUUGAGAGAACUCGGGUGAAGGAACUAGGCAAAAUGGUGCCGUAACUUCGGGAGAAGGCACGCUGAUAUGUAGGUGAGGUCCCUCGCGGAUGGAGCUGAAAUCAGUCGAAGAUACCAGCUGGCUGCAACUGUUUAUUAAAAACACAGCACUGUGCAAACACGAAAGUGGACGUAUACGGUGUGACGCCUGCCCGGUGCCGGAAGGUUAAUUGAUGGGGUUAGCGCAAGCGAAGCUCUUGAUCGAAGCCCCGGUAAACGGCGGCCGUAACUAUAACGGUCCUAAGGUAGCGAAAUUCCUUGUCGGGUAAGUUCCGACCUGCACGAAUGGCGUAAUGAUGGCCAGGCUGUCUCCACCCGAGACUCAGUGAAAUUGAACUCGCUGUGAAGAUGCAGUGUACCCGCGGCAAGACGGAAAGACCCCGUGAACCUUUACUAUAGCUUGACACUGAACAUUGAGCCUUGAUGUGUAGGAUAGGUGGGAGGCUUUGAAGUGUGGACGCCAGUCUGCAUGGAGCCGACCUUGAAAUACCACCCUUUAAUGUUUGAUGUUCUAACGUGGACCCGUGAUCCGGGUUGCGGACAGUGUCUGGUGGGUAGUUUGACUGGGGCGGUCUCCUCCUAAAGAGUAACGGAGGAGCACGAAGGUUGGCUAAUCCUGGUCGGACAUCAGGAGGUUAGUGCAAUGGCAUAAGCCAGCUUGACUGCGAGCGUGACGGCGCGAGCAGGUGCGAAAGCAGGUCAUAGUGAUCCGGUGGUUCUGAAUGGAAGGGCCAUCGCUCAACGGAUAAAAGGUACUCCGGGGAUAACAGGCUGAUACCGCCCAAGAGUUCAUAUCGACGGCGGUGUUUGGCACCUCGAUGUCGGCUCAUCACAUCCUGGGGCUGAAGUAGGUCCCAAGGGUAUGGCUGUUCGCCAUUUAAAGUGGUACGCGAGCUGGGUUUAGAACGUCGUGAGACAGUUCGGUCCCUAUCUGCCGUGGGCGCUGGAGAACUGAGGGGGGCUGCUCCUAGUACGAGAGGACCGGAGUGGACGCAUCACUGGUGUUCGGGUUGUCAUGCCAAUGGCACUGCCCGGUAGCUAAAUGCGGAAGAGAUAAGUGCUGAAAGCAUCUAAGCACGAAACUUGCCCCGAGAUGAGUUCUCCCUGACUCCUUGAGAGUCCUGAAGGAACGUUGAAGACGACGACGUUGAUAGGCCGGGUGUGUAAGCGCAGCGAUGCGUUGAGCUAACCGGUACUAAUGAACCGUGAGGCUUAACCUU
RNAcentral lists this ribosomal RNA (2901 nucleotides) under Escherichia coli UMEA 3609-1. RNAcentral's name for it is "bacterial LSU rRNA". It matches the Rfam family "Bacterial large subunit ribosomal RNA". The record is from RNAcentral. Lineage: Bacteria; Pseudomonadati; Pseudomonadota; Gammaproteobacteria; Enterobacterales; Enterobacteriaceae.